Molecule: ribosomal RNA, 454 nt
Filed under: uncultured bacterium
Lineage: Bacteria
Description: bacterial SSU rRNA
Rfam family: Bacterial small subunit ribosomal RNA
Source: RNAcentral
GGGAAACCCUGAUGCAGCGACGUCGCGUGAGUGAUGAAGGCCUUUGGGUUGUAAAGCUCUGUUUUUAGGAACAAAAAAAUGAGUGUACUUAAAGAGAAAGGACCGGCUAAUUUCGUGCCAGCAGCCGCGGUAAGACGAGGGGUCCAAGCGUUAUCCGGAAUUAUUGGGCGUAAAGCGGGUGUAGGUGGUUUUGUCAGUCAGAAGUGAAAGCCUCAGGCUUAACCUGAGAAGUGCUUUUGAUACUACAAGGCUUGAGUUAGGGAGAGGAUAGUAGAAUUCCUGGUGUAGUGGUGAAAUACGUAGAUAUCAGGAGGAAUACCGGAGGCGAAGGCGUCUAUCUGGCCCAACACUGACACUGAGAUCGAAAGCGUGGGGAGCAAACAGGCUUAGAUACCCUGGUAGUCCACGCCGUAAACAAUGGACACUUGGCGUUGAUGAUUUGACCUCAUCAGUG